GUAACAAGGUUUCCGUAGGUGAACCUGCGGAAGGAUCAUUACCGAGUGCGGGUCUUUAUGGCCCAACCUCCCACCCGUGACUAUUGUACCUUGUUGCUUCGGCGGGCCCGCCAGCGUUGCUGGCCGCCGGGGGGCGACUCGCCCCCGGGCCCGUGCCCGCCGGAGACCCCAACAUGAACCCUGUUCUGAAAGCUUGCAGUCUGAGUGUGAUUCUUUGCAAUCAGUUAAAACUUUCAACAAUGGAUCUCUUGGUUCCGGCAUCGAUGAAGAACGCAGCGAAAUGCGAUAACUAAUGUGAAUUGCAGAAUUCAGUGAAUCAUCGAGUCUUUGAACGCACAUUGCGCCCCCUGGUAUUCCGGGGGGCAUGCCUGUCCGAGCGUCAUUGCUGCCCUCAAGCCCGGCUUGUGUGUUGGGCCCUCGUCCCCCGGCUCCCGGGGGACGGGCCCGAAAGGCAGCGGCGGCACCGCGUCCGGUCCUCGAGCGUAUGGGGCUUCGUCUUCCGCUCCGUAGGCCCGGCCGGCGCCCGCCGACGCAUUUGUUUGCAACUUGUUUUUUUCCAGGUUGACCUCGGAUCAGGUAGGGAUACCCGCUGAACUUAAGCAUAUCA
This 607-nucleotide unclassified non-coding RNA is filed under the name Aspergillus hortae. Its description in RNAcentral is "sequence contains 18S rRNA gene, ITS1, 5.8S rRNA gene, ITS2, 28S rRNA gene". The stretch from base 229 to 382 matches the Rfam family "5.8S ribosomal RNA". The record is from RNAcentral. Lineage: Eukaryota; Fungi; Ascomycota; Eurotiomycetes; Eurotiales; Aspergillaceae.